Molecule: ribosomal RNA, 253 nt
Filed under: uncultured bacterium
Lineage: Bacteria
Description: partial 16S ribosomal RNA
Rfam family: Bacterial small subunit ribosomal RNA
Source: RNAcentral
UACGUAGGGGGCAAGCGUUGUCCGGAUUUAUUGGGCGUAAAGAGCGUGUAGGCGGCCAGGUAGGUCUGCUGUGAAAACUCGAGGCUUAACCUCGAGCUGUCGGCGGAAACCAUCUGGCUAGAGUCCGGAAGAGGAGAAUGGAAUUCCCGGUAUAGCGGUGAAAUGCGCAGAUAUCGGGAAGAACACCCGUGGCGAAGGCGGUUCUCUGGGACGGUACUGACGCUGAGACGCGAAAGCGUGGGGAGCGAACAGG